GAGGGUAUAGCUCAGUGGUAGAGUGUAUGCUUAGCAUGCACGAGGUUCUGCAUUCAAUCCACAGUACCUCCA
RNAcentral lists this transfer RNA (72 nucleotides) under Camelus bactrianus (Bactrian camel). It matches the Rfam family "tRNA". Rfam says of the family: Transfer RNA (tRNA) molecules are approximately 80 nucleotides in length. Their secondary structure includes four short double-helical elements and three loops (D, anti-codon, and T loops). Lineage: Eukaryota; Metazoa; Chordata; Mammalia; Artiodactyla; Camelidae. The record is from Rfam by way of RNAcentral. RNAcentral also lists the same sequence under 2 other names.